AACAGUUAGAAAUGACUGCUAAUACCGCAUAAGACCACGGAGUCGCAUGGCUCAGUGGGAAAAACUCCGGUGGUAUGAGAUGGACCCGCGUCUGAUUAGGUAGUUGGUGGGGUAACAGCCUACCAAGCCAACGAUCAGUAGCCGACCUGAGAGGGUGACCGGCCACAUUGGGACUGAGACACGGCCCAAACUCCUACGGGAGGCAGCAGUGGGGAAUAUUGCACAAUGGGGGAAACCCUGAUGCAGCGACGCCGCGUGAGCGAAGAAGUAUUUCGGUAUGUAAAGCUCUAUCAGCAGGGAAGAAAAUGACGGUACCUGACUAAGAAGCACCGGCUAAAUACGUGCCAGCAGCCGCGGUAAUACGUAUGGUGCAAGCGUUAUCCGGAUUUACUGGGUGUAAAGGGAGCGUAGACGGCUGUGUAAGUCUGAAGUGAAAGCCCGGGGCUCAACCCCGGGACUGCUUUGGAAACUAUGCAGCUAGAGUGUCGGAGAGGUAAGUGGAAUUCCCAGUGUAGCGGUGAAAUGCGUAGAUAUUGGGAGGAACACCAGUGGCGAAGGCGGCUUACUGGACGAUGACUGAC
RNAcentral lists this ribosomal RNA (581 nucleotides) under uncultured Lachnospiraceae bacterium. RNAcentral describes it as "bacterial SSU rRNA". It matches the Rfam family "Bacterial small subunit ribosomal RNA", at positions 145 to 744 of the family's 1533-position model. The record is from RNAcentral. Lineage: Bacteria; Bacillati; Bacillota; Clostridia; Lachnospirales; Lachnospiraceae.